GGAGUGGAUAGUUGAGUAGAUAACUGAGGGCCGAUCAAUCAACUGCGAAGAUCUCAGUUUAAUUUGAUCAACUGGAACUGCAGUGGUCGCCGAAGAGUGGGCGGUGAGUGAAGUGUGCUCUAAGUUGAGCGUGUUCGAGGCACGAUGAGUUGAGCGUUGUGCUCUGGGCAAUGAACGAGGAAGCGUCGUGAUACCAGGUGCUUGUUAAGCGAGCUUUGCUGGUCAGCGGAGUUCUUGUCAGCGGCAUUUUUUGCAGCGGUGAAGCUAGUGGUUUGGCGGAGCGGGACUUUGCUGAGGUGCUACUGAGCGGAGCUUUAGCCAUUGGUGGCUGCUAGCGGAGGAUUACUAGCGGUUGGCUGGGUUUUGCUCAGCCGAGGAAUUUUGGCUAGCGGAGCGGAGGCCGGCUAGCAGAGAUGGUCAGCGGUGGUGAAGUUCGGCGGUGACCACUCCGGCUGUGAAGUUCGGCGGAGAAGCUCAGCGAAGGCUGCUUACUUGGUCAGCGGAGGUUUGAAACUCAGAAGCCUGCUUUGCCGCUGACUGGAACUUAGCUUCUCCGCUGACAGAGAUGAGCGGAAAAGUGCCGCUGACUGGAGCUUUUCCACUGACGCUGACUGAAGAUGAGGAGCUGACUGAAGUCAGGCUCUUCCGCUGACGGAUACGAGCGGAAAAAGUGCCGCGGAGUGGCGGUACCGCUGGCAGAAGUUUGGCUGUGAAUUAAUGGUCAGUGGAGGUCGUUGUCGUUGAUGGCUAGCGGUGGUGUGUAGCGUUGGAGCUUGCUAGCGGAGGUGGAACUUUGGGCAGCAGAGGGUGGCUAGCAGGUUGGUGGAGCCCUCUCCAGCGGAGCGGAGCUAUUUUGCCGGUGGUGCUGGUGCUUGACGAAGAGGAUGAUUGUUGAUCGUGGGUGCCCAUAUCAAUUGCAGUUUGUUUUGUGGCCGGCGGCGAAGCUUGCUGGUUUUGCCAGUAAAGCUUUGGCGGUGCCUAGCGGAGUUUUACCCGCUGAAGAAGUGUGGCGGAGCGGAGCUCUGUGCUCACCUGGAGCUCGAAGGAGAUUCGAUGCUAGCUCAGCGGCGGAUCGAAGUUCGGCGGAAGACUCGGAGCUCAGCGGGUGAGAAGUUCGGCGGAGCGUAGCAAAGUUCAGCGGAGGAGCUCGGCGCUGCUGGUGUUUUAGCGGUGCCAUGACUGGGGUUGGGGCGUUCAGCGGUGCCGCUGACAGAAGUUGGCGGUGCAAGUUUUGUGUUGCCGUUGAACCAGUGUGACGGAGCCGCUGAUGAUGAGUGAAGAAUGGCCAUGGGUGCCUAGAGAAAUUCUCUGGGUGUCCAGAGAAAUUAGGCUCCCUCUUUUUUUUUUGAAUAGUGCAGCGGUGACUGAGUGAAUAGUUCAGCG
RNAcentral lists this long non-coding RNA (1383 nucleotides) under Rosa chinensis. RNAcentral's name for it is "sRNA RchiOBHm_Chr2g0160661". Lineage: Eukaryota; Viridiplantae; Streptophyta; Magnoliopsida; Rosales; Rosaceae. The record is from RNAcentral.